RNAcentral lists this transfer RNA (72 nucleotides) under Paramuricea clavata. It matches the Rfam family "tRNA". From Rfam's summary of the family: Transfer RNA (tRNA) molecules are approximately 80 nucleotides in length. Their secondary structure includes four short double-helical elements and three loops (D, anti-codon, and T loops). The record is from Rfam by way of RNAcentral. Lineage: Eukaryota; Metazoa; Cnidaria; Anthozoa; Malacalcyonacea; Plexauridae.
AGCAGGGUGGCGCAGUGGAAGAGUGCUGGGCCAAUAACCCAGAGGUUAAUGGAUCGAGACCAUUUCCUGCUA